Drosophila montana is the source of this 421-nucleotide long non-coding RNA. RefSeq lists it as uncharacterized. Lineage: Eukaryota; Metazoa; Arthropoda; Insecta; Diptera; Drosophilidae. The record is from RefSeq and is a predicted model, not a curated record. The transcript is spliced from 2 exons.
GCAAAGUUUGAUUAACCUAAAAACCAUAAAAAGUAAACAAUUUUUAACACUGACUUGUAGAUAAAUUUAUGUGUCAAAACUGUUGCGAUAAAAAACAUCAAAUCAAAAUCAAAUAAAACAAACUUUGCGGCCAGCCAGAGGAAAAAUCGAAUAAAAUCAAGCAUGACCUAUUACUGUCACGUCCGGUGCGAGCCAGGUAUUUUAGCGUCAAUUUGUGCCGCCCCCUCGUCCAUCAAGUUCGAGCCCGAGUUUGGGAUUGAGAUUUGAUUGGGUUAUUGAGUGGUAAACAGUUUCCUACUGGAUCGAUGGAUGGGCUCGAAGGAAAAUCAAUGCGCAUUACUGCAGCCUCGUUGGGCCCCAAAACCAGCGAACAACCCGGCAACUCGGCAGUAACGAAAAUAAAUUCAAUUUUUAAAUACAA